GACGAACGCUGGCGGCGUGCCUAACACAUGCAAGUCGAACGAGGUCCAAGGGAGCUUGCUCCCUGAAGACCUAGUGGCGAACGGGUGAGUAACACGUGAGAAACCUGCCCUCGAGUGGGGAAUAACCCGGGGAAACCCGGGCUAAUACCGCAUACGCUCCUCUGGUCGCAUGGCCGGAGGAGGAAAGUUUUUCGCUCAAGGAGGGUCUCGCGGCCUAUUAGCUAGUUGGCGGGGUAACGGCCCACCAAGGCUACGAUGGGGAGCUGGUCUGAGAGGAUGAUCAGCCACAAUGGAACUGAGACGCGGUCCAUACUCCUACGGGAGGCAGCAGUGAGGAAUAUUCCGCAAUGGGCGAAAGCCUGACGGAGCAAUACCGCGUGCGCGAUGACGCCCUUCGGGGUGUAAAGCGCUGUCAGUGGGGAAGAAGAUCUGACGGUACCCACAGAGGAAGCCCCGGCUAAUUACGUGCCAGCCGCCGCCGUAA
Molecule: ribosomal RNA, 484 nt
Filed under: uncultured bacterium
Lineage: Bacteria
Description: partial 16S ribosomal RNA
Rfam family: Bacterial small subunit ribosomal RNA
Source: RNAcentral